Molecule: transfer RNA, 72 nt
Filed under: Camelus bactrianus (Bactrian camel)
Lineage: Eukaryota; Metazoa; Chordata; Mammalia; Artiodactyla; Camelidae
Also listed under: 2 other names
Rfam family: tRNA
About the family: Transfer RNA (tRNA) molecules are approximately 80 nucleotides in length. Their secondary structure includes four short double-helical elements and three loops (D, anti-codon, and T loops).
Source: Rfam by way of RNAcentral
GAGGGUUUAGCUUAGUGGUAGAGUGUAUGUUUAGCAUGUCUGAGGUCCUGGGUUCAAUCCCCAGCACUUCCA